Pezoporus flaviventris is the source of this 1617-nucleotide long non-coding RNA. RefSeq lists it as uncharacterized. The transcript is spliced from 2 exons. The record is from RefSeq and is a predicted model, not a curated record. NCBI's taxonomy places the organism in Eukaryota, Metazoa, Chordata, Aves, Psittaciformes, Psittacidae.
GGAACCGUAGUGAUGGGACAAGGGGUAACGGGUUAAAACUUAAACAGGGGAAGUUCAGGUUAGAUAUAAGGAAGAAGUUCUUUACUGUAAGGGUGGUGAAGCACUGGAAUGGGUUGCCCAAGGAAGCUGUGAAUGCUCCAUCCCUGACAGUGUUCAAGGCCAGGUUGGACAGAGCCUUGGGUGCCGUGGUUUAGUGUGAGGUGUCCCUGCCCAUGGCAGGGGGCUUGGAACUGGAUGAUCUUAAGGUCCUUUCCAACCCUAACUAUUCUAUGAUUCUAUGCCGCUGGUUUUAAUGGGUAUGAGGAAAGAGAAAGGACUACUUAAUUUUAAAGGGGAAGGGAAGGAGUCUUGUGAAUACCCCAGAUUGUGGUCAGUCUCUUGGGCUCAGAUUGUGAGCCCGCUGCACUCUGUGCUGUUCUAGGGCAAACACACUGCCUUAGUCUGCUGCUUGUAGAUCACCAAUAAUUUUUCCAUUAUUAAAAUUGCUCUUUGUAGUUGCAUGCAAAUAAAAUCUGUUUUUAACAUACUAUCAAGCAAUCACUGAUAGGCAUUUUCAGGGUGCUUGUGAUACUCAUUCCAUAAUAUUUCAGGAACAGGUAUCCUAAAACCAAGGGCUUGAUAUUUAUGCCAAAAUUACCUUAUUCCUAAAUUUUAAUAAGAAGAAUAAAUUUAUUUUAAUGGCCUCUUAAGUAACUGAUUCAAAGUUGUUAUGGGCUCAUACUCUAAUAAUGUUUACAAGACUUGUAAUUCUGUCACUCCUGAAGCAGAAGAAGGAAUCUAGUUUCCAUCAGCCUGAAUCUGUACCCAUAAACUUCACUUUUUCUAUUACCUUUUCAUAUGUUGGUUUUAGUCUUGUUGCAGUUAGACGGUCACAGCUUUGAAAACAUCAACAAAACCAUUACAGAAUAAGAAUUUUCUGUUUAUGAAAACAGUAAACCAGGAGUUAAUCCUUAAGGGGUUUUCCUUAAUGAACAGAUGCAGCAUUAGGACCAGACAUAGGAAUCAAGACAAGAAACUCUGUCUCUGCCUUUUUCAAGUGACACAGACAUAUGCAAUGUCAGCCUUUUGAUCUGUGUCCCUGCUGUAGUAGGUUUUAUGUGCAUAAAGAAUAUGCAGUACUUAAAUGUCAGACUCUGGUGGUAAUAUUGGGUAUUUUGUUUCUAAUUACUUCUAUUUUAAAGGAGAAUCCCUGUCGUUCAUACCCUCAUAUGAAUCCACUCUCUAAAGAAGGCUCAGCCAACAAAGCAUUUAAAAACUGGCUUCAGCAUAUCAAUAUACGGAUAUCAAAGCAAGUUCUAGUUUCUUGCAGUAUUUAUACCUACUGCUUACAGAGUACAUUUUUCUCUGGGAAUAACUGACUUCACAGUGUUGUGACGGUUAAACUCACACUAUGUCUGGGGCCCUGCUCAGAUAUUUACUUCUUUUUGGCAAUCAUAUACUCUUUUAAGAUUUUUAAACUGUAAAAAUACUUAUGUAAACUAGUACCUAUAAAACAUAACACUGUCUAGCUGUGUAAUACAAGAUUUGCAAAUAUGUACAUGUUUGUGUUAAUAUCCUAUUUUUAUAUGAAUGUAUAUAUUUCUGAAGUGGAUAAACUUUCAAUGCCAGUUCACCAAA